Trifolium pratense (red clover) is the source of this 959-nucleotide long non-coding RNA. RefSeq lists it as uncharacterized. The record is from RefSeq and is a predicted model, not a curated record. The transcript has 5 exons. NCBI's taxonomy places the organism in Eukaryota, Viridiplantae, Streptophyta, Magnoliopsida, Fabales, Fabaceae.
UUUCUCCAUCUUCACACCAUUCCAUUUCGGUGAAAAACCAAAAGCUGCUUUGCAAUCCUAUUCUACAAGCUUUGACCAAUACUUUCAAAAUUCAAAUUUUGCAGCUUGACCCAUCCCUUUCAUGAUGCUGCUGCUACUACUGUUGUUUUCUGCUUUGUUGGAAUCAAUUUCAAAAUUCAAAAUUCAAUUUAUCCCACUCUUUUUCAAUAUCUAAACUCACUUUCUUACUCAUCUCUCUCCAUUUUUUGUUGAUUCCUUUGAACUUCGUCUCUCUCCAUGAAUCAACCAUCUUGAAUGGCACAAGCCACAAUCUUCAAAGUAGUAAAAUUUUGAUACCUGAUCGAAGGAAUCGCUCUCUCGCAUGACACAAUCAGAGAUUUUGUUAAUUUCGAAAGUUGGAUAUUUUACUGCUCGAAAAAGUCAAAGAAACAGGGGUUGGAAGAAUAAAGCAGAAGAGGGGUUAUAAAUAUCGAUGGAUGUACACGGAUGAAAAUGGAAAAAAUACUGCUGAUGCGUGCCUUAUUGCUUACAAAGAUCCUUAUUCAGCUCACUUUGCCAGUAGUUUUUUCAAUGGUGCACCUAUAGUAGGUAUGCUUUUUGAGAAGAUAGAAUAAGACACUGAUGCACAUGAUAAGAACGUUGAGGGAUAAGGAGAAGAAAAAGGAAUAGAAUGGUAAAACUGAUGCAUAGUAUAGGGAGGAUCGUGUAAUGUACAUAUAUGCUAUCAUACAUAUAAAACCACACAUUCAAUUUGUUGACUCUAUAUUUGAAGAGAUUAUUAUGCAAUGGCUUAAAUUUUGAAUUUGGAGUUAGACAAAAGUUAUGUAUUUUAGGGCUUUACGAAAACUAUGAUUUAAUUUUUUUUCUUAUUAUGUUUUCUAUCCUUGGGCAAGUGAAUUAUGUAACCUUAGUUGUAGUAAUAACUUCAUUCUAUUUCUUAACAAGUACAUUGAAGAAUA